GUCUACAACCAUGCUACCCUGAACAAGCCUGAUCCCAUCUGAUCGCAGAAGCUAAGCAGGGUCGGGCCUGGUUAGUACUUGGAUGGUAGACCACCGAGGAAUACCAGGUGCUGUAGGUG
RNAcentral lists this ribosomal RNA (119 nucleotides) under Pteropus alecto (black flying fox). Lineage: Eukaryota; Metazoa; Chordata; Mammalia; Chiroptera; Pteropodidae. The record is from RNAcentral.